GAGUUAUAUGAAAGGAGGAAAGGUUAGUACUCCCUUGACAGAGAUGCACGAAGCCCUUGGCCUGACAACACACAUAUGGUUAAGGCAUUUCCAGCUCCUUUGUAACAUCUAACCACUGUUUUUG
Molecule: small nuclear RNA, 124 nt
Organism: Bison bison bison
Lineage: Eukaryota; Metazoa; Chordata; Mammalia; Artiodactyla; Bovidae
Source: Ensembl